UGCUUUACACAUGCAAGUCGAACGGUAGGGUAGCAAUACCUGAGAGUGGCGAACGGGUGAGUAAUGCAUCGGAACAUGCCUAUUAGUGGGGGAUAGCCCGGCGAAAGCCGGAUUAAUACCGCAUACGAUCUAUGGAUGAAAGCUGGGGACCGCAAGGCCUGGCGCUAAUAGAGUGGCCGAUGUCAGAUUAGCUAGUUGGUGGGGUAAAGGCUCACCAAGGCGACGAUCUGUAGCUGGUUUGAGAGAACGACCAGCCACACUGGGACUGAGACACGGCCCAGACUCCUACGGGAGGCAGCAGUGGGGAAUUUUGGACAAUGGGCGAAAGCCUGAUCCAGCAAUGCCGCGUGCAGGAUGAAGGCCUUCGGGUUGUAAACUGC
Molecule: ribosomal RNA, 380 nt
Filed under: uncultured organism
Description: bacterial SSU rRNA
Rfam family: Bacterial small subunit ribosomal RNA
Source: RNAcentral